GAUGAACGCUGGCGGCGUGCCUAAUACAUGCAAGUCGAGCGAACGGACGAGAAGCUUGCUUCUCUGAUGUUAGCGGCGGACGUGUGAGUAACACGUGGAUCACCUACCUAUAAGACUGGGAUAACUUCGGGAAACCGGAGCUAAUACCGGAUAAUAUUUUGAACCGCAUGGUUCAAAAGUGAAAGACGGUCUUGCUGUCACGUAUAGAUGGAUCCGCGCUGCAUUAGCUAGUUGGUAAGGUAACGGCUUACCAAGGCAACGAUGCAUGGCCGACCUGGGAGGGUGGUCGGCCACACUGGAACUGAGACACGGUCCAGAGUACUACGGGAGGCAGCAGUAGGGAAUCGUCCGCAAUGGGCGAAAGCCUGCCGGAGCAACGCCGCGUGAGUGAUGAAGGUCUUCGGAUCGUAAAACUCUGUUAUUAGGGAAGAACAUAUGUGUAAGUAACUGUGCACAUCUUGACGGUACCUAAUAAGAAAGCCACGGCUAACUACGUG
Molecule: ribosomal RNA, 497 nt
Filed under: uncultured bacterium
Lineage: Bacteria
Description: partial 16S ribosomal RNA
Rfam family: Bacterial small subunit ribosomal RNA
Source: RNAcentral